Molecule: ribosomal RNA, 488 nt
Filed under: uncultured bacterium
Lineage: Bacteria
Description: bacterial SSU rRNA
Rfam family: Bacterial small subunit ribosomal RNA
Source: RNAcentral
AGAUGGGCGCACGGCGCACGGGUGCGUAACACGUGGGUAACCUGCCCUCUGAUGGGGGAUAACCCGCCGAAAGGCGGGCUAAUACCGCAUGACAUUCCGACGAUUUCGAUUGUGGGAAUCAAAGCCCGCAAGGGCGUCGGAGGAGGGGCCCGCGCCCGAUUAGCUUGUUGGCGAGGUAACGGCUCACCAAGGCUAUGAUCGGUAGCCGGUCUGAGAGGAUGGCCGGCCACACUGGAACUGACACACGGUCCAGACUCCUACGGGAGGCAGCAGUGGGGAAUCUUGCGCAAUGGGCGAAAGCCUGACGCAGCGACGCCGCGUGGGGGAUGAAGCUUCUCGGAGUGUAAACCCCUUUCGACCCGGACGAAUGGCCCGCAAGGGACGUGACGGUACGGGUAGAAUAAGCCCCGGCUAACUACGUGCCAUCAGCCGCGGUAAAACGUAGGGGGCCAGCGUUGCUCGGAACUACUGGUUUUAAAGGGUUCGUA